UCAAAUGAAUUGACGGGGCCGCACAAGCGGUGGAGCAUGUGGUUUAAUUCGAAGCAACGCGAAGAACCUUACCAGGUCUUGACAUCCCUGACAACCCGAGAGAUCGGGCGUUCCCCCUUCGGGGGACAGGGUGACAGGUGGUGCAUGGUUGUCGUCAGCUCGUGUCGUGAGAUGUUGGGUUAAGUCCCGCAACGAGCGCAACCCUCGACCUUAGUUGCCAGCAUUCAGUUGGGCACUCUAAGGUGACUGCCGGCUAAAAGUCGGAGGAAGGUGGGGAUGACGUCAAAUCAUCAUGCCCCUUAUGACCUGGGCUACACACGUGCUACAAUGGGCGGUACAAAGGGUUGCCAAGCCGCGAGGUGGAGCUAAUCCCAUAAAACCGAUCGUAGUCCGGAUCGCAGUCUGCAACUCGACUGCGUGAAGUCGAAAUCGCUAGUAAUCGUGAAUCAGAAUGUCACGGUGAAUACGUUCCCGGGCCUU
RNAcentral lists this ribosomal RNA (480 nucleotides) under uncultured Anoxybacillus sp. RNAcentral describes it as "bacterial SSU rRNA". It matches the Rfam family "Bacterial small subunit ribosomal RNA", at positions 901 to 1382 of the family's 1533-position model. Lineage: Bacteria; Bacillati; Bacillota; Bacilli; Caryophanales; Anoxybacillaceae. The record is from RNAcentral.